CAAGGAGAGCUUAAUUUCAUUCAUUUUAAUGAACCGUUUUUCUCUGUUUAUAGCAUUUUUGCAGUGGGAUUGAGAACAAGGAUUAGGAUUACUGGAGUUACUCUGGGACAUGUUAAUUCUAAGUAUAAAUCAAAAGACAAGGCACUAUCAUUGACCCUCCUAGAGGACAAUGGCUGCAGAUAACGCCUCCACUGUGACAGAGUUUGUCCUUGCAGGCUUAACAGAUGAGCCAGAACUCC
This 239-nucleotide long non-coding RNA is filed under the name Mustela putorius furo (domestic ferret). RNAcentral describes it as "lncRNA (ENSMPUG00000030028.1)". Lineage: Eukaryota; Metazoa; Chordata; Mammalia; Carnivora; Mustelidae. The record is from RNAcentral.